UUAAAAAAAGAGGGGAAGCAGAACCAAGUCAAGAUGAUAUGGGUCGCCCCUUCUUCUUGCGCCAAAGAUCUUACCAUUUCCGAAGGAACUGGGGCUACAUUUCUUUUCAAUUUCCAUUCAAGAGUUUCUAUCUGUUUCCAUGCCCUUUUCUUGAGACCUUGA
Molecule: ribosomal RNA, 162 nt
Filed under: Triticum aestivum (bread wheat)
Lineage: Eukaryota; Viridiplantae; Streptophyta; Magnoliopsida; Poales; Poaceae
Description: partial small subunit ribosomal RNA
Source: RNAcentral